Passer domesticus (house sparrow) is the source of this 1416-nucleotide long non-coding RNA. RefSeq lists it as uncharacterized. The record is from RefSeq and is a predicted model, not a curated record. Lineage: Eukaryota; Metazoa; Chordata; Aves; Passeriformes; Passeridae. The transcript has 3 exons.
CGGGCGGGAGCUGCGCAGCCCCCGGCCCGGCCGCCUCCAGCAGCGCCCCGGGGAGCGGCCGCUGCUCGCCCGGCGCCCGCCCUGCAGCUUCCACCUGCUGCACCGCGACCGGCCGGUGCCGGCCCGGCGGGAGGGGCCGAGCCGCUUCCAGGAGCUGUACGGGGAGCGGCCGCCGCCCGCCCAGCGGGAGGUGCUGGGGAUCCCGCCCUGCGAACUGUUCGGGCUCCACGGGGAGCCGCUGCUGCCGCUCGGGCGGGAGGGACCCCCCAGCCGCUUGCAGGAGCUGUACGGGGGGCAGCUGCCUCCUCUCGACCGGGAGGUGCUCCGGCUCCAGCCCUGCAGCUUCCAGCAGCUGCACAGGGAGCAGCAGCCCUCGGCCUUCGACCCACGAGGUAGGAAACCUUGCUUUUCCAAAAGGUCAGGAAAAGUGACCGCUUAAGUAUUUUUCCACGAGGCUCUGUCAUUCUCGGUCAGAAAUUGUCAAGCCUAUUAGGAAGCGGCACCUCGAAGGCUGCCAAAAAAUUCUCUGCCUGCUUUUCCUGCAUGCUUCCUGUGAUGGUUAAUCCAAGGCAGCAGUAGAGAUCUGUGUCCCAGAGCCACAUUGUGGAGCCUGACCAACGUGUUUGGAUUCUUGCAGCCACCCCGGGCACUUCUGCACCCAGCGCUCCAGCUGGCAGUGCUGCUUGUGCAGCAUCGACGGCCUCCAGCUCAGGACACAACGCACCUGGGGCAGAGGGAUGGCCACCAGCAGAUCUCGGCCUUGCCAUAGAGAAAAUGAUCCGGGAGAUCAGGAGAUCCCUGCCCGAAAGGUCUCCCUCUGCUCAGGAUGAUGUUAGUGUUGCCCCUGAGUCUUCAGGAGGGGAGCCUGUAGACAGAGCUGCAGCAGAGGAAAUUUCAUCUGACACGGAGAGCUGCAGGAACAGUUCCCCAGAGCCCGAGGAGCCUGAUCCCAUGUGAUCGACCUCUCCAGGAGGGCUGGCCUGUGUAGCAGGAAGAGACAGAGGGAGAGCCUGGAACGUCGGGCAAGUUGACUUCCUCUGUCUCUAGUUAUAUUUAUAGAUGUAUAUAGUUAUCUUUGUUUAUCUAGGUAGUUGUAUUUAUAGAUUUAUGUAAUUAUAUUUAUGUAUCUACACAGAUAGAGAUCUGCACAGUUAAUUUCUUUUUCAUUUUAGAUGUUUAUCGUUAUAGCUUUAGAUGUGUUUUUGUAGGUGUGCACGUUUUCAUUUAUACGUGUGUAUAAUUACAUGUACAUAUAUAUAUUUCUAAAUGCAUAUUUCUAUUUUAUAUGGGGUUUUAGCUACAUAGAUUGAUAUGUGUGUGAGCCUCUUUUUAAGCUCUUACCCUGGUCUGCUUCCUCGCUCACCUCUGGCUUUUCCCCCUGUGCCCCCUGUGUCCCCUCUCCCUGGGCUGGGUCCG